RNAcentral lists this ribosomal RNA (252 nucleotides) under uncultured bacterium. RNAcentral's name for it is "partial 16S ribosomal RNA". It matches the Rfam family "Bacterial small subunit ribosomal RNA", at positions 524 to 776 of the family's 1533-position model. The record is from RNAcentral.
UACGUAGGGUGCGAGCGUUGUCCGGAAUUAUUGGGCGUAAAGAGCUUGUAGGCGGUUUGUCGCGUCUGCCGUGAAAGCCCAGGGCUUAACCCUGGGUCUGCGGUGGGUACGGGCAGACUAGAGUGUGGUAGGGGAGACUGGAAUUCCUGGUGUAGCGGUGAAAUGCGCAGAUAUCAGGAGGAACACCGAUGGCGAAGGCAGGUCUCUGGGCCACUACUGACGUGAGAAGCGAAAGCAUGGGGAGCAAACAGG